This is a long non-coding RNA of Haliotis rufescens (red abalone), 581 nucleotides long. RefSeq lists it as uncharacterized. Lineage: Eukaryota; Metazoa; Mollusca; Gastropoda; Lepetellida; Haliotidae. The record is from RefSeq and is a predicted model, not a curated record. The transcript has 2 exons.
CUCAAAACUCUCAACACCGCAGGGCGUAUUCAAUGACAUUGCGUGUAGAGAUGAUAGAUCACUGGGAGGAGCUUAUGCACACACGAUGACCCCUGACGUCACUGGGCAUUGUCUCGCCGGUGUGAUUAGCAACAAAAUACUACAAAUUACGUCAUAGGGUAUGAUCACGUGUUUGAAAGGUUUGUGGUACUGUAUUCUAAAGUGUGAGGAGAACCUGGUUCCAGGAGGAGGUGUGAUGGACAUGAUGUUGAAGGGAAUGAUCAUUCCACACAGAAUGUGGGGUGUGAGGCACAAUUUGAAAUAAAGGAGAUGCAGGUCCAUGCUGAACAAUGGGAGAACCAUCUACUCAAUAACCAUCUGGCUCUUGAGAAUUUUGGAGUAUCAAGAACUAGAACUGACCCGUUUCAUGCAAUAUUAUAUUUCAUUACUGACUGUGAUACUUUCAAGUGAUGUUUAUAUUUUGAUCAACCCAGUGCCACCAAAAUGUGUAGCAUGUAUUAUGUUUGUUCUGACACUGUUUCCUUGGCUGGAAGACCCAGGACUAUGCUGUUGACUGCACUGAAAUAAAAAUUCAAAUCCCA